RNAcentral lists this unclassified non-coding RNA (397 nucleotides) under uncultured fungus. RNAcentral's name for it is "partial contains small subunit ribosomal RNA, internal transcribed spacer 1, and 5.8S ribosomal RNA". The stretch from base 1 to 73 matches the Rfam family "Eukaryotic small subunit ribosomal RNA", at positions 1759 to 1831 of the family's 1831-position model. Lineage: Eukaryota; Fungi. The record is from RNAcentral.
GCAAACUUGGUCAUUUAGAGGAAGUAAAAGUCGUAACAAGGUAUCCGUAGGUGAACCUGCGGAUGGAUCAUUACCAAUUUUAUAUUAUUAGUUUGUGACUCUCCGUCAAACGAGGGCUCACACAACUACUACUGUAAACGUUGAACUAGAUCAUUGGUUGUGGAUUGCUUGGGAAUGGACGAAGCGACAAGCCUCUUCCGGACAGGCAAACCCCACACACCGAUAACCUUUUCAUAUAUUACAACUAGUACAUACUACAAACAAACAAACAAACAAACAAAAGCUAUAAUAGGAUUUAUAUACGAGUUGAGUGGGUAAAAGCCUCGACUCUUUAAAAAUAACUAUUACAACUUUCAGCAAUGGAUCUCUAGGCUCUCGCAUCGAUGAAGAACGCAGC